CAUUGAUAUCGUUAUGGUCCAAGGAAAGUUAUUAUGAAGCCGCCAUCGUUAAAUAGGAAUCGUCGAAUCCCGUGAAAGAAGUGAAGAUUAGAAGAAAUCUGUAACAAAAACUGAGCAAUAAAAGAAAUGGCAAUUUGAAAUUGAUGACAUCCUUCCAUAUCUUGAAAUUUUCUCUGUGAUCGAGCAAUAAACUGCACAAGAGAAUUACGCAAAAUGUUGAAGUAAUGUAUAAAAGUAAUAAAUUAUAUAAAAAUAAAACAACAAUCUACGUUAAAUACGCACAAACGUAACUACCAAACGUCGUAUCGCGACGUCUAACCACUUCAGUCUCCGACAUUAAACUGACACCUCACUCCACGGUUUAUCUAGCGAAUAAUGGCGAGGAGGAAUGAAAAUAGCAGGGGCUGCUGUUCGGUAAGUCGAGCGGUACGAAUACAAGUCGUCAAAUUCCUGGAAAAAGUAUGUCUUUCUUAGCGACCUUAUUAUGUUUCAAACAAAGAAACAUUACGAUAGGCUGAACAGAAAGAUACGCGUAAAAAGUAAACACGCAUAGAAAUAAAAUGAAGUUACUGGCCAGAAAAUUUUAAUGGAGAGGGAGAGAGAGGGAAAAAAAUAGAUUAUGAAAAGAGAACAAAAAAACUAAAUGAAGUGAUUUUCAGAAUCAAUCAAUGAUUUGUAUAAAAGAAACCACCAAGUAUAUUAAUAUAAGGC
This is a long non-coding RNA of Bombus pascuorum, 711 nucleotides long. RefSeq lists it as uncharacterized. The transcript is spliced from 3 exons. The record is from RefSeq and is a predicted model, not a curated record. Lineage: Eukaryota; Metazoa; Arthropoda; Insecta; Hymenoptera; Apidae.